UAGUCCACGCCGUAAACGAUGGAUACUAGCUGUGUGGUUUUCGGACUGCGCGGCCAAGCGAAAGUGAUGAGUAUCCCACCUGGGGAGUACGUUCGCAAGAAUGAAACUCAAAGGAAUUGACGGGGGCCCGCACAAGCGGUGGAGCAUGUGGUUUAAUUCGAUGAUACGCGAGGAGCCUUACCAGGGCUUAAAUGUAGUAUGACAGGACUAGAGAUAGUUUUUUCUUCGGACAUAUUACAAGGUGCUGCAUGGUUGUCGUCAGCUCGUGCCGUGAGGUGUCAGGUUAAGUCCUAUAACGAGCGCAACCCCUGUUGUUAGUUGCCAGCACAUUAAGGUGGGGACUCUAACAAGACUGCCGGUGCAAACCGUGAGGAAGGUGGGGAUGACGUCAAAUCAUCACGGCCCUUACGUCCUGGGCCACACACGUGCUACAAUGGCCGGUACAGCGGGCAGCCACUACGCAAGUAGGAGCGAAUCCACAAAACCGGUCACAGUUCGGA
This 500-nucleotide ribosomal RNA is filed under the name uncultured bacterium. Its description in RNAcentral is "bacterial SSU rRNA". It matches the Rfam family "Bacterial small subunit ribosomal RNA", at positions 791 to 1297 of the family's 1533-position model. The record is from RNAcentral.